GCCGGGAGGAAAGAGAGAAGGACGGAGAGGGAAUAGGAAUUAGAAGAGCACAAAGAUGCUAGCCUAUGAGGAUGGUGUGGACUGGACGAGACUCCCCGACAGUAUCUUGCUCCAGAUCUUCACUUUCCUGGAGUAUUCGGAUAUGCCGUUUGUUGGGCGUGUGUGCAAGUCCUGGCUGAG
Molecule: non-coding RNA, 180 nt
Organism: Penaeus vannamei (Pacific white shrimp)
Lineage: Eukaryota; Metazoa; Arthropoda; Malacostraca; Decapoda; Penaeidae
Source: RefSeq, a predicted model, not a curated record